RNAcentral lists this long non-coding RNA (290 nucleotides) under Vigna radiata. RNAcentral's name for it is "long non-coding RNA (VRAD_LNC013375)". Lineage: Eukaryota; Viridiplantae; Streptophyta; Magnoliopsida; Fabales; Fabaceae. The record is from RNAcentral.
AGAAAUUGAAAAGUUGAAGGCAAAAAUCAGGUGCUACAGGGAGGAAUCGCGCAAAAGCACGCAAAGAAGAGGGAGGAGAAAUUACCGCUCACCCCCGGGCAGUGCAAUUUUACAGCCAAGCGGUGGCAGCGAACACUUAAGCCCAAGCUCUUUAAUGCUUGGCAGUUUUAGGUGUUCUGCACUUGAAUCCACUCCUUUGCAUUUCGCCAAGCGGUCUUUUUGAGCUUUAACACCCAAUUUGCACCUUCAAAGGGUUUCCAAAGAGAUUUUUCCACAUUUUCUUACCACCC